UGGUUUCCACUUUCUUGGUGCAAAGAAGAAGUCGAACAGCAAAAAGAAGGAAUUGAUAGGAGCAACGCUUUGUGAAGAUCUCCAGCAGUUAUGCCUUUCUUGAUUAGUGAUACGAUGUACUCCAUGAAGGCUGAAUCACAGGGUAAUGUAAUAGGGCCACCACUUGACAACCCAAACUCUUCUUCGGACAUGCGUAAAAGUUGCCUAAUGACCUCAUUUUCAAGGUAAGCCAAUGGAACGACGAAGCGGGAUUGAUCAGUUGUAUAAACUACAAAAUGGCCUUUCUCAACUAUAGAGGAUGAAGAUGUACUGCAACUGUCUGCAUCACUAUCAUUUCUUGGAAAUGUAAUCCUCUUCCUCUGCAUAGCAGCAAACUUCUGCCAUUUCCUGGCCAUCUUGAUGAGUUUCUUAGCGCUGAGCAUUGCCAUUUGUUUUUUGGAAGAUUGAAAAUGAGAAAGUAGAAAAGAAAUUUAGAGACUUUAGAUGGUUGAACUGAUAAUGCUUGUCCUUGAUGAUGAAAAAGCUCAUGAAAGAGGGAUUAUUUAUACAAAAUGGAGCUGAAGUUCUUGUCACUAACCACUGAAGGCAAAACCAUGUGCCGAUGUUUGUUGGCCAAGUUGGCAUUGGGCCUAAAAUUUGUGGAUGAAGCUAGGCCUAUUAGCUAUAAUAUCAGUUCAUAAAUGGUACUUCUCACCAAUGCCAAUAAUUUGAAAGCAUUAAAUGAACAAUUGCCGGUGAGAAGCAAAACCAUGUUCUUCUCCCUUCAUUUUCAUGUAGAUAGGGGACACUUGACUAUCAUACUUGUGCUAGAAAAACCAUUUCAUUAAAGUCAUCAUGUGGCUAUUCUGUUUUGGUCUCUGUCACUCUAUCUUUAAAUCAGGUGGUCCAGGCAAAGCUAUCAUCUUCAUCUAUUCUUGUGAAUUUUGUUUCAAGAGUGUCCUUUAUGUAAAUCAUGAGUCUUCAGAUGGCAUUAUCUCUCACUAUAGUGGUCACCUAUUUCUCUUGACCACCACUAAAUAUUUUGAUAUGAAACUUGUCAUAAACAUGUAUAUAGAUACUAGUCUCCGGAAUGUGAUGCCAUCUCUUUGACAAUAGAAAAAUAUAAACUGGAAUUACAUUCAUUCUCAGGGGUCAAAGAUUCUCCCUUCAUCUCGGUACUAAGUUUUUCCAUUACUUGUGCGCAAAUUGUUGAUAGUAAAAUGGGAGUAAAUCCCCUAUUAAUUCCUUCCCAACCGAGAAGUGAGAUCAAAGAAAGCAUCCUCUUUGCAGGGGAUUUUGACACCAGCUAUUUGAUGAUCAAAACCAGUAUCUUCCUCAGCUUGAGCAACAAGCGUUGAAAUAAUGAGAGUUCUCUCAAAUGAGAGUUCUUCCAUUAAAUAGAAAGAAUUCUGAUUUACAUGCCUUAAAAAAUCUGCUAUAUAUCCCUAAAUAUAUGUUAUUCCUAAUUGUAAUAUCUCUGAAAAUAUGCUACAUUAAUCUAUGCUAUCUCCUAUCAUCAUUACACAAAUAUUUAGAGUUAUAACAUAGAUAUGUACAGCUAUUUAGAAUCUGUCCAAUCACGCUAACAUCCCCCCUCAAAUUGAUGCCGGUGGAUCAAAAAGCAUCAAUUUGCCUACCAGAAACUGAUGACGUUGUCGUGCCAUAGACUUUGUAAACACAUCAACUAUUUGAAGAUCACUGGAUACAUGUGGAAGAGUAAUGACUCUCUUAUCCACAACUUCUCUGAUAUAAUGACAAUCCACUUCAAUGUGUUUGGUCCUUUCAUGAUAAACUGGAUUAGUAGCAAUCUGAAUAGCAUUUGUGUUGUCAGCAUGGAGAGGAGUGGGAUUAGAUUGAGGAAAUUCAAUUUCUGCAAGUAAACCACGAAACCAAACAAUCUCAGAGCAAGCAGUAGACAUUGCUCGAUAUUCAGAUUCGGUGGAAGAUUUUGAUACACGAUCUUGCUUCUUGCUCUUCCAAGAUAUCAAGGAAUCUCCAAGAAACAUGCACCAACCCGUGACGGAGCGACGAGUAUCAGGACAUCUAGCCCAAUCAGAAUCACUAAAUGCAUUAAGCUGAAUCUCAGAACCACUAGGAAAGAAUAAUCCACGAGUAGAUGUUCCCAAGAGAUAUCGAAUCAUGCGACGGACAGCCACCAAAUGUAGAUGGCGUGGAGCCUGCAUAAAUUGACUCAAUUGUUGAACUGCAAAAGAGAUAUCAGGCCGAGUAAUAGUAAGAUAAUUUAGUCUCCCAACUAAUUGCCGAUACAAAGUUGGAUCAGGAAGAAGAUCUCCUUCCGCACUGCAAUUCUUUACAUUCAAUUCCAAUGGAGUAUUUACAGAGGGAGAUUCUUGAAGACCAGCCAAAGCAAUCAAGUCCUAAGUAAAUUUGUGUUGGUUCAAGACAAAGAGAAUUGAAGCAAAGUAGAUCGAAACUUGUCAAACCAAGCUCUUGGAGCUUGUUUUAAUCCAUAUAAAGACCGCUUCAACUUGCAUACAUCUGAUGUAGGUGAUGAGAACAAACCAGGUGGGGGUUUCAUAUAAAUAUCUUCUUUGAGAUCACCAUGAAGAAAAGCAUUUUUGACAUCCAUUUGAUGAAGAGGCCAAUUUUGUGAUGCAGCAAUGACAAUAAUAGUUUGCACCGUAGUCAUUUUUGCUACAGGUGCAAAAGUCUCCUCAUAGUUUACACCAUACUCCUGUUUGUUGCCAAGGACCACCAAUCGAGCUUUGUACCGAUCAAGAGUUCCAUCAGAAUUAAGUUUAAUUGAAUAAACCCAUUUACAUCCAAUUGGACGGAUAUUUGGAGGACAAGGAACAAUGUCCCAUGUGUUAUUUUCUUUAAGAGCCAAAAGUUCCUCCUCCAUUGCUUUUUGCCAACAUUCAAGCUUGGAAGCUUGUGAGUAACUUGUUGGAAUAGAGAUGGUGGAUAAAGUAGAAGAAAAACCAUACCGUUUGAGAGUUUGAGACACUUUAGUAGAUCGCCGAGGAGGCUCAAGAGGAGCAAACCUUGAAGAAAUCUCAGAUUCUGGUUGUGGAGCAGUCUCAGGUGGCGGAUUUGUUUCGGGAUGGGGUAAAGUUGGCUGAUGUCGUUCAUACACAAAUCUUGGUUUGAACCGCUUAGAAGACAAUGACAAAUCCUCAAAAGUAGGAAGAAGAGGAGAAACAGAAGAUGACUCAACAUGAGUAGGAAAGAAAUACUGAUUCUUAAAGAAAAUAAUAUUUCUAGAAACACGAAAUUUGUUAGAACUUGGAUCAUAGCAAAUAAAACCUUUUUGUGAAGUACUAUAGCCCAUAAAAGCACAUUUAAUAGACUGAACAGAGAGUUUAUUUCGUUGAAAAGGAGGCAGGUGCACAAAACAAACACAACUAAACGUAUGAAAACUAUGAUAGCUGGGAUGCUUAAUGAAAAAGACGAUAAUAUGGAGACUCAAGAUUUAACACUUUAGAUGGAAGUCUAUUAAUCAAAUAGACAACAGUAGACAAAGCUUCAACCCAAUAUUAGAUGGAACAGAGGACUCAAUCAAUAAAGUACGAGUGACAUCUAAAUGAUGAUGAUUCUUACGCUCAGCAACUCCAUUUUGUUGUGGCAUAUAUGGGCAAGAGCGUUGUGAUACAAUUCCUUUCUCAAGCAAGAAAUUAUUGAAUUCAUGAGACAUAUAUUCUCCACCAGAAUCAGAUCUUAAUAUUUUGAUGCAUGUGGAAAAUUGAGUCUCAACGUAAGCCAAAAAUUUCUUGAAUAUGGAAAACACUUUAGAUUUAGAUCGAAGAAAAUACACCCAUGUAAAUUGACUAUAGUCAUCUAUAAAUGUCACAAAAUACUUGAAAUGAGCAUGAGAAAUAACUGGUGAAAUGCCCCAAACAUCACUAUGAAUGACAUCAAAACACUUUGUAGCACGACUACCAAAAUUAGGAAAAGGAAGAGUUUUACUUUUGCCUAAUUUACAAGUAGAACAAUCAAAGGAAGCAACUGAAAAUUGAUUUUUAUUUCCCAAUAAACCAGAAUUGGACAAAUGAGACAACACAAUAGAAUGUGGAUGUCCUAGACGUUUAUGCCAAACCUCAUUCUUAGUAGUGGUAGAAGCAAGAGCUAGAACACGAGGAAUAGAAAAGUGUAUAGGAAACAAUCUUCCAACUUUAGGCCCCUUCGCGAUUAUCGUCCUCGACACCUGAUCCUGCACAAUGCAACCAUUACGAGAAAAAUUCACAUCACAAUUGUUAUCUACCAAUUCGCCAACUGAAAUAAGACUAGUGGAGAGCUUUGAUGAUACAAAAACAUUCUUGAAAGUUUCAGAAAUAUCCCCAACCUUGGUAAUGGGUAAAUUACUACCAUUGGCAACCUUAAUUUGUGUUGGACCAUUAUACUCACGGAUGUUUUUGAGUAUAUUAGUUGAGUUGGUCAUAUGAUUGGAAGUGCCAGAAUCAACAAGCCAAAAUUUAGAUAUUACCUCAUUACCUUGCAACCCUAAAGCUGAAAAUGCUGACAAGAUCAUUUGUUGUUCCAUUUCAGGAGUAAGAACUUGUCCUACUGAAGACGAGUUAUCUGUAGUUGAACCAUUUAUCCCAACUUGAAAAGCAUUUGCCCUACGAUUUUGAGGACGUGUGGGACACUAUUUGAUAAUGUGUCCUUGUUGUUUACAAUAAUUACAGAACUUCUUGCCACAAUUACUAGCAAUAUGACCAUAUUUCUUGCAACUGUAGCAUUGAGUUCUAGCCAUAUCCAUGCCCUUUCCUUUCCCUUGAGCUGCAAAUGCGACAGUGACAACAUUUCCUUGAUGAAAAGCAUUUUAUGUGAAGAAACGCUUCUCUUCACAAAGUAAUUCCCUAAAACAGACAUCCAACGAUGGAGAUGGAUCAUGGUUCGUCAAGUUGGAGCGAACAUUUUCAAAAUCAGAUCGUAAUUUCAUCAAAAAUUGAUCUCGCUUGCUUUGUUCAUGAACUCCUUGAAUGAUGGAGAUAGAUUCAGAAGGUAUUGUAGUAUAAAUGAUAUCGGUAAAUUCAGCCCAUAAGUUCUGAAAUCCAGAGAAAUAAUCUUGAACAGAGAGACCUCCUUGAGAAUACAUAGCAAUUUCAUGCUCUAACUGAAAGCGCCUUGCGCUAUGGUCUUGGUUGUAAACCUUUUGUAAAUAAUUCCACAUUGCCUUUGCUGUCUUGUAUGGCCUGAGAUUAAGAACAAUAAGAGGGUCAAUUGACCCUAAAAGCCAUGUCAUCACCCGAGCAUCUUAACUUCCAUUGACCGAGCUUUGUCGGAUCAGUAGGAGUAGGAUCACUUCCAUCUAUAUGUCCCCAUAAUUCUUUUCCGGUGACAAAUAGUUGGAAUUGAAAUUCCCAGGCAAAGUAAUUUUUCCUGUGAAACGAACAUAGAAGGACUCAAACUGAUAUGACGCCAUGUUCUUGACAAGUUAAGGAAGAUAGAAAUGCAAUGAUACAAAAUACCAAAUGACCAAGACUGAGAUUCCAAGAUGCCUAAAAUUUCAAGAUACUUAGGACUUACCGUUGACUAAAAAACAGUAAGCUGAACCAAAACUUUCAAAAAAAAAUUCUGAAAGAAACCACAGAUGAAAGACACUAAGAAUCAAAGCACUAAAGCACUGAAAAAGGCUCUAAUACCAUGUCAAUUUUGCUGAAUGAGUUCUCUCAAAUGAGAGUUCUUCCAUUAAAUAGAAAAGAAUUCUGAUUUACAUGCCGAAAAAUCUGCUAUAUAUCCUAAAUAUAUGUUAUUCCUAAUUGUUAAUAUUCUCUGAAAAUAUGCUACAUUAAUCUAUGCUAUCUCCUAUCAUCAUUACACAAAUAUUUAGAGUUAUAACAUAGAUAUGUACAGAUAUUUAGAAUCUGUCCAAUCAUGCUAACAUGCAUUUCUCAGAAUUAUUUGUUUUUGUUUUCUCUUAGGUCAUUUUUUAGAAUAAUAGAAUUGUCUCUUGAAACAAUGGGUAUCAAAACGACUCCAUUUAUUAAGUCUAAUCAAAUAACAUACUUGAAUCCACCUUUAUUUCAAGAUCCGUUAGAUCAUAUUGUAGUUUAUCUCCUAAUUUCUUAUGAAAAUACCAUAAAUAUACUUGGACAUAAUAUUUUCUUCAACCAGUUUAUUCUUCAAAUGCUGUUGUCUAUCACCUUAAUGAAAAUACCUCAGCAAAGCCUGAUGCAGUAUACCUUCUGGAUAUGGGGACUUAAAUUUGUGGAUGAAUCUUGUUUCAAAGGAUGGAAGAUAAUGAGUUUAUUAUUUUCUUCAUUAAAUUGACGACCGAAUGGACUGAGACCUUUAUGGGAGUGAAUGGACCUAAUUAGAACAUAACACAUAAAGUUGAUUCAUAUAAUUGAGACUAAACAGUUUGGGUUUGAGACGUAGUUGAAUGUUGAUCGUUUGAUCUCCUUUGUUUCAAAUUUUCAUACCAUCUAGUUUUUUUUCAAUCAAGGAAGUGCCAAACUCCAACAUUAGAUUGUUAGGACUACUCAUAACCAAAUUGAAUAGUGAGAACAUGAAAACAUGACUAAAUUGGUCCUAGUUACUCUUCGGGGCAGAGUGGAAGAAGUGGGGGAUUCUCGGAAGCGGAAAAGGAUCAAUGAAUUCAAAAGAGUUGAAAAAGCAGUUGAUUACUCGGAUUGGUUCUCGCAUCCAUGUGCCCAAAAGGCUGGGAGAGUCUGGUUUGAGUGUUCAUCGAUCGGGUGGAUCUAAUUGUCCAAGAUUCCCCACUGCUUCCCCCCGUGGGAGUUCAGGCCGUGUCUCAGUCCUCUUUUCUAUGCAUCUUUAGUAUUUUUGCCCUGGUGGAUUUCUUUCUCAGUAAAUGCAUGGACUGGACUAAACAGAACAAGAGGGAUCCAUUUGAGAAGAUUCUUCUCCCUUUCCUUCCCUUUUUUCGGAAGAAGGGUCGGAUCUCAGAUUUUGAUUUAGUUUUCUAUAUUUUGUAUUUCAAAUCUUGAUCAAAAUAUAUGCAAUAGGAAAUAUGGUAAAUUUUCAAAUAAAGUAGUAUUCAAUUUGUAUGAUGUUCUUUACAAUUGUGUACUCUUCAAUGUCCGCCUUUCUAAAACCUAUUUUUGAGCUACCAUGUACAAAAAAUUGUGGACCUUAACUCAACAAACAAGAAGCUGCUGGCUUCCAAUUUCUUGGUGCAUAGAAGAAGUUGCACAGCAGCAUGAAGGAAUCGAGAGGAGCACUGCUUUGUGAAGAUCUCCCGCAGCUACACCUUUCUUGAUUAGUGAAAUGAUGUAGCUCAUGAAGGAUGAAUCACAGGGUAAUUUAAUAGGGCCACCACUCGGCAACCCAAACUCUUCUUCGGACAUGCUUAAAAGUUGCCUUAUGAUCUCAUUUUCAAGGUAAGCCAAGGGAACGACAAAACGGGCUUGAUCAGUUGUAUAUACUACAAAAUGGCCUUUCUCAACCAUAGAAGAUGAAGAUGUACUGCAACUGUCUGCAUCACUACCAUUUCUUGGAAAUGAAAUCCUCUUCCUCUGCAUGGCUGCAAACUUCUGCCAUUUCCUGGCCAUCUUGAUGAGUUUCUUAGCGCUGAGCAUUGCCAUUUUUCCUUUGAAGACUGGAAACAAGAAAUUGAAUGAGAAAUUUAGAGAAAUUUGAUGGCUAAAUUGAUAAUGCUUGUGCUUGAUGAAGAUGAAUGGGGGAUUAUUUAUAUAAGGAGGCUAUAGACAGGCCUUGAGUUAGAGCUGAAGUGUUUGGCACUAACUACCGAAGGCAAAUCCAUGUGUCAAUGCCUGUUGGCCAUGUUGAUAUGGGGCCUAAAAUUUGUGGAUGCAGCUUGUUUGAAAAUAAAUGAUGAUAAGUUUCUUCCUUUCUUCUCUUUAAUCAAUUAGGCCUACUUGGUAUUUCUCAGCAAUGCCAAUAAUUUGAGACCAUUAAAUGAACAAUUGCUGGUAACAAGCAAAACCAUGCUCUGCUCUCUUCUUUGUCAUGUAGAUAGGUGACCUUUAGAUUUCCAUCUCGGCAUCUAUUCAUUGAUUCUUGUGGAUUUUAUUUCAAAUAAAUGCGGGGACUAAUGUCAUUCUUCUACAAAUUUAUUGUCUGAAUACUUGACAAUAACAGAGUAAGCAAAACCAUGUGAAGCUUCAUGUCCCAACGUCUUUCACCAGCGGCCACCAAAUCCUCUACACCAUUAAACUUGGAUAUGAAACUUAUCACUAACUUUGUAUAUAUACACAUACAUAGAAAGUUUUUUAUGCAAAACACAAGUCUCAAUUUCUGUGUAUUUCUCAAAAUCCGUCUUUUAUUAAGUCACUUAUUUAAAGCUACCAAAGUAUAUCACUAUGGGUAUUAAAAUGAGUCCUCUUAUUCAAGGGACUAGAAUCUUCAGGAGGUUUUCAAAUUCCGGAGGUAUUCCCAAAGGUCAUUGUGCAGUAUAUGUAGGAGAGAGCCAGAAGAAGAGAUUCGUCGUGCCAAUAUCAUACUUGAACCAACCUUUAUUUCAAGACUUGUUAACUCAAGCUGAAGAACAGUUUGGCUUCGAUUAUCAGAUGGGUGGUCUCACAAUACCUUGCAAAGAAGACGUGUUUGUUGAUCUCACAUACCGCUUGAGACGAUGAAUUGUAUCAAAGUGCAAAUUCUAUUGCACAUGAAAUUUUGUAAAGUAGUAGGACUUAGAUAUUAGAAAGAGAAAAAUCCACUGUAUAGUUCAGAAACACUUGAACCUUGAAAAUUUCCUCAAUGAUCAAUUUAUGAAUAGCAGAAGUGCUGGUUCUGAUAAUCACUAUUUUGGUAGUAUUUGCAAAAAAAAAUCUGUUUUUCAUUUAGAAUAUUUCUUCAAAAAAUAUUUAAGCUCCUGUAUGAAACAGUUGCACCGUGUGGCGCAAACUAGCACAUCGAAGGAAGUAUCAUUUAGUGGAAUAAGACUGUCAUUUGAAUGCCAUAAACUUAUAUAUACACAUACACAAAGAGUAUUUGAGCAUUCCUCAAAAUUAUUUGUUUCUUGUUUGUUCUUAGAUCAUCAUUUAGAUUUAAAAAUCAUAGCUUGAAAUACAAAGCCGCGCGAUAUAUUUUGGACAUCAUUUAGGUUCUUCAGCAUCUGCAGUUGUUUUUUCACCUAAUUGUUUCUGCACAAAUAUAUUUUGGACAUCUUAUUAUCUUCAACAAGUUUAAUUUAAUAUUCUGACACUAACUUGGAAGACAAAGCCACGCGAUACUUUAGUAAAGCCUGAUUUCUGUUGGAUAUUGAUAUGGGGUCUUAAAUUUGUGAAAAAGUCUUGCAGAUUUCCUUUCUUUCUUCAUUUGCUUGCGGAAUAACACUUAGGAACUUCUCACAAAUAAUAAUAGUUUGGGACCUUUGAAUGAAGAAUUGAUAUCAUAGAGGUGUUAAUACAUAAGAGGUACUAAUCCAGGAUUAGAUUGUUAAGUCUUCUCAUAACCAAAUGUAAAAGUUAAAGAUGUAGAUAUGGUAAAUCUUCUCUGAUAAAAUAAUAUUGAAUAUUGAAUCUGUAUGAUGCGCUUUACAAUUGUGUUCUCCAUUCUAUGUCCUAUCUAAGCUAGAGUGUAAUAAGAAAAAAUGUUGAUUAUGACUCAACAAACAAGAAGCUGUUGGUUUCCACUUUCUUGGUGCAAAGAAGAAGUCGAACAGCUAGAAGAAGGAAUUGAUAGGAGCAACGCUUUGUGAAGAUCUCCAGCAGCUAUGCCUUUUUUAUUAGCGAAAUGAUGUAGUCCAUGAAGGCUGAAUCACAAGGUAAUGUAAUAGGGCCACCACUCGGCAGUCCAAACUCUUCUUCGGACAUGUUUAAGAGUUGCUCAAUGACUUCAUUUUCAAGGUAAGCCAAUGGAAUGACAAAGCGAAAUUGAUCGACUGUAUAUACUACAAAAUGUCCUUUUUCAACUAUAGGUGAUGAGGAUGUACUGCCAUUUCUUGGAAAUGAAAUCCUCUUCCUCUGCAUGGCUGCAAACUUCUGCCAUUUCCUAACCAUUUUGAUGAGUUUCUUGGUACUUAUCAUUGCCAUUUUCUUUUCCGGAAGAUUGAAAACAAGAAAGUAAAUAAGAAAUUUAGAGACUUUUGAUGGUUGAAUUGAUAAUGCUUGUGCUUGAUGAUGAAAACGCUCAAGGAAGAGGGCUUAUUUAUACAAGAGGAGCUGAUAAGUUUGUUAGGCAAAGCCAUGUGCUGAUGUCUGUUGACCAUGUUAAUAUGGGGCCUUAAAUUUGUGGAUGAAGCUAGUUUAAAAGACGAUAAGUUUCUUUGUUUCUUCUCACCAAUGCCAAUAAUUUGAGACCAUUAAAUGAACAAUUGCUGGUGAGAAGCAAAACCAUGUUCUGCUCUCUUCUUUGUCAUGUAGAUUUCCAUCUUGGCAUCAACUUCAUUAAACCUUGUCGAUUUUAUUUUAAGGGUAUCCAUAAAAUAAAAUUGGGGCCUAAUGCUGUUUUUCAACAAAUUUAUUGUCUGAAUACUUGACAAUAACAGGGUAUGCAAAACCAUGUGAAGUUUCAUGUGCAAUUGUCUCUCACCAGUGGCCACCAAAUUCUCUUCACAUUUAUUUUGUAUACUAGAUUUACCGCACGUGCGUUGCACGUGGUUGCUUCGUCUUAAGAUUGUUACAUGUAUGAUAGUAUUUUGGUACUUAAUCUGGCCCAUAUUUUUGUGUGUUUUGCCACUUUUUUUGCAAGUCGGUAUUAUGUGGCCUUGUAGUUCUUCCGACCAGUCGUUUGUUUUGGUAUAUUUUGCAAUAAUUUUCAUUUUUUUGUCUUUCUGUUAACCUGUAAUACGCAUAAUAGUUGCAUAAAUAAAUUAGACUCAGGUGUAAUUAGCAUUUUCUGUCCAUUGAACAUAAAGGCCAAAAAAUUCCCACUCAAGCGGUCAUUUUUGGUUUAAGUAUUGCAGUAGAUGCUGUGACCGCCCUUUUUUUAACCACAUGUUGAAUAUGUGGUGAAACAUCUCAUGGAUGGUUGUACGAUGUGUAUUUCCAUUUUAGAAAUGGGUAACAUACCUGCUUGGUUUUGAUGUUUACUACUUGGGUGAAGUUAUAUUCAAUCUGAGAAGUGCAAUGUUGAUUUUGUUGUGUACUUUAAUUUGUGAUUUCUAAUUUUGAAACGCCAGUUAAAUGUGUAUUAUACUUAUGGUAGUUGUAUGUAUAGUUUUAAAUCCCUGUACCGUAAGCCGUAUCUUGUUAAUCUACAUUUUAGUUGUUCAUCCUAUGGCUUUGUAAGUCAUUAUUCAUUACAACCUACUUACUGACCAAACACACAUCUGUACUAUUUGUGUUAUGGGGAUUUUAGUCGGGCGCCGUCCUCUUAAUUUGAUUGUACGUUAUUUAUUGUUAAGUAAUUGUGCUUGACUUAACAAUCUGCCCUAUUAGUUAUGUUCCGUCAUGACUCCUUUACAAUAAGGUCUAAUCAUUGUGUACUGUAUAUUUACAUAAUUGAAUAAACACAAAAGUAAUGUCUUAUUUGGUAAUUGCCUGAUGUUGUUCAUAUUCUCUCCUCUUCCACCAUACUUACGAAUGCAUCCACCCAUCCUUCAUUAGCUUCAUGUUGUGUUGUGUUUAUCCUUCAAAUAUCUCCUAAAACUUCCUUGUAGACAAUAUUUCUUGUGUAUGUCCCUGCGUGUCGCUCUGGUUGUUCAGUCAUUACCAAUAUUUUAGUUGUCUCCAUAGAUAUUCCUCUCGAUAGUGCCACAUACAAUUGACCAUGUGAGAAUACAUGUUGUGGUAGGUACAACCCAACAUUUGGUAUUGUUUGACCUUGUGCCUUAUUUAUUGUCAUUGCAAAACAUAAACGUAUUGGAAAUUGUUUCCGAAUAAAUUUGAAAGGAUAGCCUUCAUUCUCGGGUGGUGAUAGUUGUAUUCUCGAAAUAAACACUUGUUUUGUGGCAUAUUGACCUGUUGUUAUUUCUGCAUGUAUGACAUUCCUGUCAAAACCUCUACAAAUCAGUCUUGUCCCAUUGCACAACCCAUUUGAGGGGUCUAGAUUUCUCAGCAUCAUUAUGGGUGCAUUUUCUUUUAGAACCAACCUAAUGCAUACAACUUAAUCAUUUAUCAGUUGUAUUGAAUUUGUAAUAGUGGAAAUUUUGUUUAUUUCAUUUGUGUAAUGAGCUAACAUAAUAAUAAUAGUUAUGUAUAAGUUUUGAUGUAUUUGAUAAUGUACCUAUGUGGCGGUAGUCCAUUUGGUGUUAAGGUGUUGAGGUAUUCUUCUUGAUAGUAGUUGUUGGUAUCAUCUUCCGCUGCGUCAAAGCUGAUAUAUGUUUUUGUUUCUCCUGGGAGUUUUCCAAUCAUCAAUUCAUUUAGGUUAUCUACAAAUUCAUUUCGACUUACUAAGAUGGCCUGCGUCAAAGCUGAUAUAUGUUUUUGUUUCUCCUGGGAAUUUUCCAAUCAUCAAUCAUUUAGGUUAUCUACAAAUUCAUUUCGACUUGCUAAGAUGGCUCGUUCUGUUAUGUACUCAGCAGAUCUGUAAUUUUGUUCAAUUGCUGGGAAAAUUUCCCUGACCAAUGAUUCUUUAGGAUUACCAUCCUGACUUUGUUGGACAAUCAUUUGUUGCGGCAGCGCUAUCAAGUUUUAUUUUAUUGUGGUUUCUUCUCCGUUUCCAAUACGCAGCAACAACUCACUGAAAGUUGUAUCUGUUCUUGCUCGCAUAUUUGUUGAAAGUUGUAUCUUUUCCAUUAAAGGCCACAGAUACGACCUUACUAAACUUGCAUCUAUGGUCUCUGCUCGUGUAGAUUUUGGUACAACAGGCAGUACUUGUCGGAAGUCGCCUCCAAACACCAUGAUUUUUCCUCCAAACGGUGCAUCUUUAUCCAUUAUAUCGCGAAAGCUUCUGUCGACUGUUUCAAUUGUGUGCCGCUUCGCCAUGGGUGCUUCGUCCCAGAUUCUUAAUUUGGCCUGUUUAAUUAGUUUUGCUCCGCCGCCUUGUUUUGACAUAUGUGUCAUACUUGUCUCAUUUGCUUGUAGGGGUAUUCCAAAUCUUGAGUGUGCUGUGCGCCCUCCCGGCAAUAGUGCUGCUGCCACUACCACUGGUUGCACAGGCCAAUGCUAUCGUACCUUUUGAUCUCACGUUGGCUAGUAAUGCCCGAUAUAGAAAUGUUUUCCCGGUUCCCCCAGGGCCAUCUACAAAGAAUAAACCUUCUGUUUCUGAAUUGACCCUUUGUAGAAUUGUAUUGAAAGCUUGUUUUUGUUGUUGAUUCAAUUUGGAUUCGGCGGCUGCAUCCUCAACUGGCACCGUGACAUUCAUUUCUUCUAUUAUUUCUCUACAUUCACGUGUGUUUUGUUGAUGUAAUUGUUGUUGUAUUUGUGGUAUGUCAUAUUUGUCAACACUUUGUCCCAUACUCUCUAAGUAAUAAUUUAUACUUUUCAACGUACAUUGGAGCUGUGCCUCGAUUGUGGUGCAAUGGCUCCUUUGAAAGUCUUCAGACAUAUCACCGUAAUAUGUGUCCCAAAGACUUCUCACAUCCGUAGGGUUGCAAUGAACUAAGAUUGUUGCAAACAAACUUCGAAGUGUUGUUGGCAUCUUGAAGGUGACAGCUUCGCGUAAACAUUCAGAAAUGCUAUUAUCCGAUUCUAAUAAACCUCUUUCUUUGGCUGCCUCUUUAAACGUUUCACACUGCCUUCCAUUAACAGUUAGUAAGUUUUCAAAUGAAGUGGCUCCUCGUACGUGAUUCAAUAAUAGUCUUUCGUAAUACAUUUCUCCUUCUCUAGGAUUUGCUGUGAUAUUGAGUAGAUUCAUUUAGUAUCUUCAUUAUGUGUGAUUAAUUAAUAUGGACAGUAUGUGUAAUUGUCUUACCAAUAUUUAUGCGUCCAAUGACAGUGCAUGAUUUUCUUUUUGUCCAUAUUUUGGAUUGUGAGUUCCAUACAAAAUGCUCCGGGAACUCUCUGUAAAGGUAAUUGCGAGCCUCCGUGUCUAUAGAGCACAUCCUAAAAUACUUCGUAAGCAUAGUUUUUUGUACAAAGUCUGAUUGCAGAAUACUUUGUAGAUUUUGCUUCUUCCAAUAGCACACUACAUAUGGUUUAGUCAUUAUAACAUAAACUGAUGUUCUAUGUAGGGUAGAAACUAUUUUUGUAAAUCGCAUUUUUACUAAAAUUGUUAAAUACCUGGUUGUUUGCCAGGAAGAUGUAAUUGUAGAUUGAUAACUGCCGGUUGCAUUUCAGUUAGAUUAAACUCAUAUAUUCUCCACAUUGCUUCUGGUGGUGAGACCCAUCGUGCAUCUUGGAAGCUUCUGAUUUCAUCAAUGAAUUUUUCCCCAUCGUCAGAUUCUAUAUAUACGGCACAUUUAUCGUGGCCUUUAUAUAUAUAUUUGUAAAGAUAUUUUAUUGCUUUAACUCCUGAGCAGACUUCAACAUUAAUGUGGCAAUUAUAUCUCAUCAAUAAAUAGGGAUUAUAAGGUACAACCCAUUGGUUAUUCGUGUUCAUUCCAUGGACCUCACUUGUUCUCCCAUCAUUUCUUCUUUUGUAAAUUGGAUAUUCAUCCUUUCCUUGUAUUGUUUUGUUGGUGAAUGUUCUUGGGUAGUGGAAUUUACAUUGUCCAUCUUUCAUACACGGGCUCGACUUACGUUUAUCCCCGCAAGGUCCAUGUAUCAUAUGUUUGAUAACUAAUGUGCUCAAUUCUGGAUAUGUGUCUUUAUUAGGGAUUUCUGCACUAAUGUAUUUAUCAUACUCAUCUGGUGAUCGUAUUUUGUUUCCUUCUUUAAAUAUUAGAAGUAGGUGUAUAUGCGGUAAGCCUCUCUUCUGGAAUUCUACAACAAAGACAUGUGCUGCGAUGGGUCCGAAUAUUUCUUGUUUUAAAAUUUGAUCUUUCAAGUCUUGCAAUUUUGCUCGAAAUACUCUGGUUACCAAAUCGGGUCUGUCUUGAGGGAGUUGUCUUGGACGCAAUUGUUCUUGAAUCUCAACCCAAUCUGGGUUACAUGUCAUGGUGAUGAAAACAUCUGGUCGUCCAAACUCCUGAACCAAAGCCAUUGCAUCCAUAUAUCGGUGGCGCAUAUCCCUAGGCCCUCCAAUGAACGAUCCUGGUAGUAAUACCCUUUGUCCUACCUUGUCUCCUCUACACUCACCGGCACUGACACUGUCAACAAUACCUUCAAGUAUCUCCCUUCGAUAAUUUGAUUGCUCGAAUCUAUAAUAUUCUAGUCUGGUUGUUUCUAUCUUAAUGUAUAUGUCCACCACAAAUUGCUGCAACAAUCUCCCGCACAGUAAUAGUAUUGAUUUGUCACCCGUUCGUACUUGUAGUGUAUAACAAUAGUACUCCUUACAUGAAAUAUAGCCUUUUGUUUCACGUCGUACAACUACAUGAAUUGUUAAGAAAUAUACUUAGAUAACUUAUCUAUAUAAGGUUAGUAGUACCAGUAUAUUUUAAGUUAAAAGGUGUAAUAUGAUAGUCCAAUGAUAGUAUAUUAUUGUUGGAUAUAUUGAAAGGUGCUUACCUUGUGCUUCAUUGGCCAACAACCCCACAAUAGUUGUGGAUGAUAAUCUUGCCGAUUCGAUACUUGUAUUUGUAGGUGUUUGACUGUUGUUGAUCUGUUUGCGACAUUUUUGUAUUUCUUGGUGCCAACCUGCUUCUCCUUUAGGUAAAAUUAACGGAUAUUGAAGCGAAUCAUAACAACCAUAAUAAUGUUUUACUCGAUGUUUAUUUCCUGAAUGUUCAUGUAUUGCAAUAUCUCUUUCAAAUGGUGUAUUUGGAUUGUUUCCGUCUACCCAAAUUGCUGCGACCUGAUCCACCGACGGUUUGUUAUACACCCUUUAAUCUAAUGAAGCAUUUGCAGCUAUGCGUACUUGCAGAUUUUGUAAGUUUGUAUGUUCUUUAAUCCGUGAGAAGAAUUCUGCAUAUGGAUUCCCCUCCAUUAUAUUUCUUAAUUUGGUCAUGACUUCCUCUGAUAAAUUUGCAUCUUGUAGUACUGUCAUUCUAUUGGCUAAUUCAUGGUCAGUAUCAUAGAAGUAUAGUUGAAAGUAUCGUGGUCUGUCGUUGUUUGGAAUUAACGAUGUAGAUCAUGAUAUAUCUGACCUUGUGCCUUGAAACUGUAAACUCCUUUCCUAGAAGAUGUCAAUUCUUUGUCGAGCUUAACUCCAAAUGAUGUAAAAGCAAAUAUGCUAUUAUACGCACGUAUGUUUUUCCUGAAUAAUUUUGCGUCAUCUGAAUCCGCCACAAAUAAUUCAUAAAAGUCAUCUGCCACUUCAUUGGGUGCUAAAUUGAUACAUCCACUUGCGCAACAGAAUGUUGAUGGCUCAUAUUCAAACCUUAAAGCAUGGCAAUAUGUGCAAUCUUGGUUUUUUUUCAAUCUAUGAGUUGAUGGUCGUCUGAAGUUUCCAUUAGUAAGCCCUAUAGCACAUACCAUAAUAAUAUAUAGUUAGAGAAUGUUAUUUUAUGUUGACAACCAUUUUUUGGAAUAACUUUUGGGUUAGAAUAUUUGAUCAAAUAUACCUUCGUCAACAUUAUCGUCAGAUAUAGCUAGACGUUUCACUUUUUUUUGUCGCUUCUUCACUCGGGGUUCAUGAACAUGGGCAUCUUCAAUUUGAUCAUUUGAGGGCAGUACUCUUUCCACUGUUUGCAACGGCUUGUCUACAUCCGUUAGUAUUUUACGUUUCACCCCUAUAAUUUUCAAUCUUUAGUCGGCCUGAUAGGUGAAAUUUGGCAUUAAAAUGACAUUUUUCUAAGCAUACCUGUUGUUCUGAGCGGCCUCUUCAAGUGAUCUUCCAUGGAUGUAUCUGGAUGAAUGCAGGUGCCUGGUGAAAUGAGUGAAACAAUGUUAACAUUGGGCGUAAUUGUGUAUGGCGACGAUUGAUGAGGGCAGCGUCUGGUAAUAGUAUGCAACAUUUGGCGAAAAUUCCAUGCAAUUAAGACGUUAGCAGUAAGUUGUAAUGUGCGAGAAAUAUAAGGUUAGCACUAACAUAUAUAUGAACAUAUGUUAACAGUAAUAAGAUGUAAAGAUGCCAUUCCUAAGGUUUGAAGUAUCCCAAAUAUAGGACAUUUAUAGUUGCAAUUGGUAGGGAAUUAUAUAUGUGUAAAGAUGCCAUUCCUAAGGUUAGAAGUACCCCAAAUAUAGGACUUUUAUAGUUGCAAUUGGAAGGGAAUUAUAUAUGUGCAGGCGAGGCAGUCAUAUUGUUGCAGCAAUGGGGAGGAUCAAAGUGGAUGAGUGGAUUGUUCGUGUAGUCAUUACAAAGUGUGGAAUGUGUUUCACAUCGUGUGCUUGCAGUAUGUGCAGGCGAGGUAGUCGUAUUGUUGCAGCAAAGGGGAGGAUCAAAGUGAAUGAGUGGAUUGUUCUUGUAGUCAUUAUACAGUGCGGAAUGUGUUUAAAAUUGUGUGCUUCCAGAAUGGCAUGGGCAUAUAUAUGGUGCCAAGUAGUCCUGUCCCUGAAAGUUUAAAUUAUUAACGGGAUAACUUAGAAAAGGGAUUCACUUACAACUUGUCUAAAAGCAGGGCAGAGAGCCAGAUGAUACGUUUCUAAGUUUGCUGCGUGAAGAAAACCCAAAUCAAAAAGUGAAGGAAACUGAUAGAUUCAGUAAGGUAGUAUUGUGAAGGAGAGGGUGCGUUGAUGCAAACCUGUGCGUUAAGCGUAAUAUACGUUCGAUGGGUAGAAGUAAUUGAGUUCAUGAGUUAUAUAUUGUGGGAAGCGAUGGGUUGCGACUGUUUGAUAAUUCUAGGCGGACGUGUUUGUUCAAUUUCAAGGGAGUGGAAGUGGUGGCUUUUCAGAAUGGUUGUGUGUAAUGUACGAAAGGCCAUGGUAAAAGUUCAACGGGGGAAGUGGCGGCUUAUGCUAUAGGGUGCAUAUAGUGCGGGUGGUGUAGGAUGGAAUAGGGGUUAUUUAGUAAUUUACCUUUAAGUUAGGAGGGUUAUUUAGUAAUUUACCAUUAAGUUAGGAGUUGGUGCUUUUAAGGUAAUAUAGAUGAAACUUACCACUACUUUGUAUAUAUACACAUACAUAGAAAGUUUUUUUUAUGCAAAACACAAGUCUCACUUGCUGUGUAUUUCUCAAAAUCAUUCAUUCUUUUUCUUUUUAAGUCAUCGUUUGAAGUUACAAAGUAUCUCACUAUGGGUAUCAAAAUGAGUCCGAUUAUUCAAGGUACUAGAAUCUUGAGGAGGUUUUCAAAUUCCGGAGGUGUUCCAAAAGGUCAUUGUGCAGUAUAUGUAGGAGAGAGCCAGAAGAAGAGAUUCGUCGUGCCAAUAUCUUACUUGAGCCAACCUUUAUUUCAAGACUUGUUAACUCAAGCUGAAGAACAGUUUGGCUUCGAUCAUCAGAUGGGUGGUCUCACAAUACCUUGCAAAGAGGACGUGUUUGUUGAUCUCACAUCCCGCUUAAGACGAUGAAUUGUAUCAAAGUGCAAAUUCAAAUUUUGCACAUGAAAUUUUGUGAAGUAGUAGUAGGACUUGGAUAUUAGAAAGAGUAAAAUCCACUGUAUAGUUCAGAAACACAAGAAACUAGAAAAAAUCUUCAAUGAUAAAUUUAUGAAUAGCAAAAGUGCUGGUUCUAAUAAUCACUAUUUUGGUAGUAUCUGCUAAAACAAUUCUGUUAUUCAUUUAUGAUAUUUCUUCUAAGCAAAUUAAUUAAGCCCCUGCAUGCAACAGUUGCACUGUGUGGCACAAACUAGCACAUCGAAGAAAGUAUCAUUUAUCGGAAUAAGAAUGUUAUUUGAGUUGUUUCUCACCAGCAACACCUUAUUUGUCUCGACUACUAAACUUUUGGAUGUGAGACUUGCCAUAACAUGUACAGUGACAAAAUAUUUCAUUUUUUGUGCAUUUUUCAAGAUUAUUUGUUUCUUGUUUAUUCUUAGAUCAUCAUUUAGAGUUAAAAAUAAUAGCUUGAAAGAACAGCAAUCAAGAUGACUCCACUUAAGGACGUCUUCAGCAUCUGCAAUUGUUUUAUCACCUAAUUGUUUCUGCACAAAUAUAUUUUGGACAUCUUAUUUUCUUUAACAAGUUUAUUUUUAAUAUGCUGACACUAACUUGGAAGACAAAGCAACGUGAUAGUACUUCAGAUGCCGUUGUCUCUCACCUUUGCCACUUUAAUGUGGAUACUUCAGCAAAGCCUGAUGUCUGUUGGAUAUUGAUAUGGGGUAUUAAAUUUGUGAAAAAAUUUUGUUUGACAGGAUGGAAGUUGAUGAGUUUCUUUAUUUCUUCAUUUGGUUGACAACUGAAUGGACCUAAUAAAUAAUUAUAGUUCGGGACCUUUGAUAACCAAAUGUAUAACUGAAAGCCACAGAUAUGAUAAACUUUCUCUGAUUAAAUAAUAUUCAAUCUGUGUGAUGCGCUUUACAAGUGUGUUCUUCAGUGAAUGCCCUAUCUAAAAACUAUUUUGAGCUAGAAUGUAAUAAAUAUAAUGUUGAUUAUGACUCAACAAACAAGAAGCUGUUGGUUUCCACUUUCUUGGAACAAAAAAGAAGUCGAACAGCAACAUGAAGGAAUUGAUAGGAGCAAUGCUUUGUGAAGAUCUCCUGCAGUUACGCCUUUCCUUAUUAGCGAAAUGAUGUAGUCCAUGAAGGUUGAAUAACAAGGUAAUGUAAUAGGGCCAUCACUUGACAGACCAAACUCUUCUUCAGAUAUGAUCAAAUGCUGCCUAAUGACCUCAUUUUCAAGAUAAACCAAGGGAAUCACGAAGCGCUUUUGAUCAAUUGUAUAUACUACGAAAUGCCCUUUUUCAACUAUAGACGAUGAAGACGUACUGCAAUCAUCUACAUCACUAACAUUUCUUGAAAAUGAAAUCCUCUUCCUCUGCCCGGCUGCGAACUUCUGCCAUCUCCUGGCCAUUUUGAUGAGUUUCUUGGUACUGAUCAUUGUUAAAAAAAUACCGGAAGAUUGGAAACAAGAGAGUAAAUAAGAAAUUUAGAGAUUUUUUAUGGAUGAAUUGAUAAUGCUUUUGCUUGAUGAUGAAAAGGCUCAUAGAAGAGGGAUUAUUUAUACAAGAUGGAGCUUAAGUUUUUGUUACUAACCAAAGCCAAAGCCAUGUGCUAAUGUCUGUUGGCCAAGUUGGUAUGGGGCCUAAAAUUUGUGGAUGAAGCUAUGUUGAAAAUAAAAGAAGAUAAGUUUCUUCCUUUCUAUUCUUUGAUUAACUAGGCCUACUCGGUAUUUCUCAGCAAUGUCAAUAAUUUGAGACCAUUGAAUGAACAAUUGCUGGUGAGAAGCAAAACUAUGUUCUGAUCUCUUCUUUGUCAUGUAGAUAGGUGACCUUUAGAUUUCUAUAUUGGCAUCAACUUCAUCAAUCCUUGUCGAUUUUAAUUUAAGGGUGUUCGUAAAAUAAAAUUGGGGACUAAUGUUGUUCUUCAACAAAUUUAUUGUCUGAAUACUUGAUAAUAAUAGAGCAAGGAAGGUCAUGUGAAGUUUCAUGUGCCAUUGUCCCUAACCAGUGGCCACAAAAUUCUCUUCACCAUUAAAUUUGGAUAUGAAACUUACCACUAACUUUGUAUAUAUACAUUCAUAUAAAGUUUUUUAUGCAAAACACAAGUUUCACUUGCUGUGUAUUCCUCAAAAUCCUUUAUCUUUCUUUGAUGUCAUCAUUUGAAGUUACAAAGUAUCUCACUAUGGGUAUCAAAAUGAGUCCGCUUAUUCAAGGUACUAGAAUCUUGAGGAGGUUUUCAAAUUCCGGAUGUGUUCCAAAAGGACAUUGUGCAGUAUAUGUAGGAGAGAGCCAGAAGAAGAGAUUCGUCGUGCCAAUAUCAUACUUGAGACAGCCUUUAUUUCAAGACUUGUUAACUCAAGCUGAAGAACAGUUUGGUUUCGAUCAUCCAAUGGGUGGUCUCACAAUACCUUGCAAGGAAGACGUGUUUGUUCAUCUCACAUCCCGCUUGAGAUCAUACAUUGUAUCAAAGUGCAAAUUCUCUUGCACAUGAAAUUUUGUAGAGAAGUAGACUUAAAUAUUAGAAAUAGGAGAUUUAGAAAGGAACUUUCGCUGUAUAGUUCAGAAACACAAGAAUCUAUAGAAGUUGUUUCCAUGAUCAAUUUAUUAAUAGCAGAAGUACUGUUUCUUAUAAUCACUAUUUUUAUUGGUUAUAUUUGCUUGCAAACUAACACAUCCAAGAAAGUAUCAUUUAGCAGAAUAAGAAUGAAGUUUGUGAUAAGAAACAAGAAAUUACGUAGCGGAACCAAGUCAUCAGCUUUAUCUAUACUUAAGGCUUUAAGUUUUUUAUGAUGUCCUUGAUUCUAAGUUAUGAGAAGCUGAGGCAUACUAUUUAACAAGUUUAGUGUCUGUAUAUUUGGAUAAACUUUUGGAUAUCAAACUUUCCAUAAACUUAUAUAUACUCAGUGCAAAAACCUUUCCUUUUCCGUGCAUUUCUCAAGAUUAUGUGUUACUUGUUCAUUCUUAUAACAUCAGUUAGAGUUAAAAAUCACAUCUUGAAAGAAGGGGAAUCAUCAAAUGACUCUACUUAUUCAAUCUAAUUGAAUUUUAAUGACGUCUGCAGUUGUUUGAUAUCAUACUUGAGUUUUUCUUUAGAUUUCAAGUCUAGUUAGCUCAUAUUAUUUUAUUCACCUAAUUGCUUCUGAAAAUACCACAAAAUGUUCACACUGGAUGCUAACUUAGAAGACAAGCACAACAGUACUUCAGAUGUUGUUGUCUCGCAUCUCUGCCACCCUAAUGCAGAUAUUUAGAACAUACUAAUGCAUAUACACAUAAAAGGAGGCAUAGUUGAUUUAUUGAUCAUUUAGACCUUAUUCAAUCAAGAAGGUACUGCUGUAAGUGAAAUUCUUGCCAUAAACAAAGUGGUGUUAAUACAUAAGAGGUACCAAUCGAGGAUUAGAUUGUUAAGUCUUCUCAUAACCAAGCAUAAAAGUGAAAGCCAUGGAUAUGGUAAAUUUUCUCUGAUAAAAUAAUAUUCAAUAUAUCUGUAUGAUUAGCUUUACAGUAAUGUUCAUCAGUGUAUGCCCUACCUAAAAAACUAUUUUCAGCUAGCAUGUAUUAUGACUCAACAAACAAGAAGCUGUUGGUUUCCACUUUCUUGGUUCAAAGAAAAAGUCGAACAGCAAGAAGAAGGAAUUGAUAGGAGCAACGCUUUGUGUAGAUCUCCAGCAGUUAUGCCUUUCUUGAUUAGGAAAAUGAUGUAGUCCAUGAAGGCUGAAUCACAGGAUAAUGUAAUAGGACCACCACUCGGUAGCCCAAAUUCUUCUUCGGACAUGUUCAAAAGUUGCCUAAUGAUUUCAUUUUCAAGGUAAACCAAUGGAAUGACAAAGCGAACUUGAUCAGCUGUAUAUACUACAAAAUGUCCUUUUUCAACUAUAGAGUAUGAAGAUGUACUGCAACUUCCUGCAUCACUACCAUUUCUUGGAAAUGAAAUCCUUUUCCUCUGCAUGGCUGCAAACUUCUGCCAUUUCCUGGCCAUCUUGAUGAGUUUCUUAGCGGUGAGCAUUGCCAUUUUUCCUUUGAAGACUGGAAACAAGAAAAUGAAUGAUAAAUUUAGGGAACUUUGAUGGCUAAAUUGAUAAUGCUUGUGCUUGAUGAUGAAAAAGAAUCACGAAUGGGGGAUUAUUUAUAAAAGGCUAUUGAUAGACCUUGUGUUGGAGUCAUUAACCACCGAAGGCAAAGCCAUGUGCCGAUGACUGUUGGCCAAGUUAAUAUGGGGCCUAAAAUAUGUGGAUGCAGCUAGUUUGAAAAUGAAAGAUGAUAAGUUUCUUGCUUUCUUCUCUGAAUACCAAUAAUUUGAAACCAUUAAAUGAACAAUUGCUGGUAAGAAGCAAAACCAUGUUCCUCUCUUUUCUUUGUCAUGUAGAUAGGUGACCUCUAGAUUUCCCAUCUUGAUAAUCAACUUCAUCAAUUCUUGUGGGUUUUAUUUUAAGGGUGUCCUUAAAAUAAAAGUGGGGCCUAAUGUUGUUCUUCAACUAAUUUUUGGUUUGAAUACUAGAUAAUACCAUAUUAAGCAAAAAUCUCAUGUGCCAUUGUCUUGAAUUUUGUUUUGAAAUCCUCCAAGAUCUGUUGCUCAGGUUUUCCAUACCUGUAAAUUGUUUCUGUCAUGCUGCCACAAUGUUGUACAAAAGAGAUCAUUCCAAGGUGUGAGAACAUCAAAAAGCUAAAAUUUUACGGGACUACGAAGGACUAUAAAAUUGGUGGAAAAACAGGUAGUUUGAUAAUCGUGUCCAUCUAUUCCAAGUGCAAAAAGUUUUCCUGUCACAUCUCAAGGAAUUAAAAUUGGUCCUAAUUGGUCAGACAUAGGACUACCUGAACACCUUGAGUGAAUUGCCUAACCUUGAAGUGCUAAAGCUGAAAUCAGAUGCUUGUUGUGGCGAAGAAUAGAAUCAUAGAUAACUGAAGGGGUAUUUGCUAGAUAAGAAGGAUAAAUCUCAAGUCAUGGAAUACCUGAUAAGGAAGAGAUUCCUAUCGAGUUGUUACCUAAAAUGCAGGGAUUAAAGUAGAAUCCGAGGUUUUAGAAGCUGAAAAGUAGUGUAGCGGAGAAGCUCGAGUUAUUCAGCUAUGUUGGAUGAAAAGAUAGAAGAUGAAGAAUAGAAUUUCAGUAAUAACUUUGAAGUAUAUUCAAUUGAUAAUUGAAUCUGUGAUGAUAAUAUGUGUUUAUAGAAAUGGGAAAAGGAUCUAAUUUGUUAAUUGCUUCUAACUAAUUCAACAGCCCAUAACUAAAUGUUGAUAUGCCAAAGCUAACUAACUAGACCAGUGGAUUCAUUUUUGUGUAACAGGAGUUUACAGGACUGGUGGGGUUGAUUUCUCAGAAAAAUUACUCAACUGAUAGUUACCUUUUUGUUUACCUUUUUGGCUUACGUGGCAUCCAAAUACCUCUCACGCGCCUUAACUGCGUAGAGUCACGGAGUGUGCCACAUAAGCCAAAAAGGUAGUACAAAAAUUACAAAAAAAAAGAGUUAAGAGGUAAUAAGACCUUAGUUUAGUUAAGAUGUAUCUCUGGGAUUUCGAUCACAAUCUAGGGGAUACUUGUGCCUUAUCCCCAUAAAAUUACUCAACUGAUAGUUUUCUACAAAGAAAGUGACUUUUUGAGAUAAUUACUAUUAGUUGAGUGACCAUCUAAGAAAUCAACUCUCAACUGGUGGCUUCAGCUGUGCAAAUUCAAGAAGAGCAAGAAAACAUUGGAAAUAAGCCACUGGAUGCUCUUUCCUACAAUAAUCCAGGAACUAACUCCCCAUAAUUAAUUGCUUUUGAAACUUACAGCGUUUUCAUCUUUCAUAUUAUGAAAUAAUUGUUUUGAUUCAACUUAUUAAAUGAAGUUCUGACAAAAAAAUACAGAUCAAAAUGGUGAUAGGUGUGUGCUAUUUUGCCUUUGAAAAUUUAUUUAUAAUGAUAUAUUUAUCAUGCUUGAAUUAGAGUUUUCGCUUAUAAAAAGAAAAGAUAUCAAUCCAAGAUUAGAUUGUUAGGACUUCUGUAACCAAACUGAAAAGUAGAAGUCUUAAAUAUGGUAAAUGUUCUGACAAAUAUAAUAUUCAAUGUGUAUGAUUUGCUUUACAAUUGUGUACUCUUCAAUCUUUACCAUCUAAAAAACUAUUUUUCAGCUAGCACAUACAACAAAAUUGUUAACCUUCACUCAACAAACAAGAAGCUGUUGGUUUCCACUUUCUUGGUGCAAAGAAGAAGUCGAACAGCUAGAAGAAGGAAUUGAUAGGAGCAACGCUUUGUGAAGAUCUCCAGCAGCUAUGCCUUUUUUUAUUAGCGAAAUGAUGUAGUCCAUGAAGGCUGAAUCACAAGGUAAUGUAAUAGGGCCACCACUUGACAACCCAAACUCUUCUUCGGACAUGUUCAAAAGCUGUCUAAUGACCUCAUUUUCAAGGUAAGCCAAGGGAACGACAAAACG
Molecule: long non-coding RNA, 24603 nt
Filed under: Solanum tuberosum (potato)
Lineage: Eukaryota; Viridiplantae; Streptophyta; Magnoliopsida; Solanales; Solanaceae
Description: long non-coding RNA (STUB_LNC004964)
Source: RNAcentral